This is a long non-coding RNA of Nicotiana attenuata, 3502 nucleotides long. RefSeq lists it as uncharacterized. NCBI's taxonomy places the organism in Eukaryota, Viridiplantae, Streptophyta, Magnoliopsida, Solanales, Solanaceae. The record is from RefSeq and is a predicted model, not a curated record. The transcript is spliced from 3 exons.
CUACCUCCGUCCCUGUAUUCAAUGGAAAUACCAAUAGUCUAGAAGUCAUUUAAAUUUUAUUCCCUGAAACUACAGUUUGAAUAUGGUGUUUUGACCAUUACAUUGCUCUCUUCCCUGUUUCUGAAUAUUUUAGAGAUAAAUUUAGCUCCAAAUCAGACAUUCUAGUUAUAGUUCUAGAAAGAAAGUUCCAGCCAUACACCAACUCAUAGGCAAUAUCCACCUAAAACACGCACUUACCCGCACACCGUGAGUGACUCUGUUUGAAUUCCUGUGCCGUAGGAUGCUUCCUCCAACAUUUUUGCUAUCCCUGAUUCAGAUCCAACGGUUCAGAUCCCUCCCUGUCCUGUUUUAGAUCUCCAUUCUUCAUUCUUCUUCCAUUUUCGCCUUUCCCUCGAUCCUCGCAGCAAAUAUAUAUAUAUAGAGAGAGUACAAGAUAUUAAUUCAUUUUGUACUUUCUUUAACAGAACCUUCAGCUCAGUUCAGAUCUCUCUUUAUUUAAAUAGCCGACAUUUUAUUCCCUUACACAUCUGUACGGUACAGUGCUCAGAUUCUAGGUCUGUUUGUCUUGUGAGAGAAUAUGGCUUGGGCCGUCUCAACUUUGUCAUAGAAGCUUUGACUUUGGUUCGAAUGGAUUCAGGAAGCAUACUGAUUGAGCAGCUGGAUCAAGGCAAGGUUUCUCUUCUCAUGUGCAGCUGUGUAUAUGAUUUGUAUAUAGUAAUUAAUUUCGUCAGUGUAUUUGAACUUAAUUGUGGGAUCUUGUUCAUUGUAUCGUUCGAUCCAGGCCCCAAUGAAAUAGGACGAAGUCUUCUUUCAUUCGAGCCAACUCACUCUCAGGGAAUGAGAGCUUUGCAAUAGUUCAAGAUGGAAUGAUUGAGCUCUUGCCUAAGAGAAGAGCUUAAUAAAGCAUAGAUGAAUUUUUGACAACAAAAAAAGCUUUUCUCCCAGGUUGAGGUGAUAGAACAGAUUAUGACCGAUGAAAUCUGAUGCGUGCAUAUACUACAAAAGAUCUGUUAAAUUUCGGAGAUCAAAUAGAACAUCUGCAAAUUGCACGAAUUGGGGCGGUUGGCCUAAGCUCCGCAAAUUUGAUGCAAUUUGCAGGGGUUACGGACCCCCGCAGUAAAGAUAUUUUGUUUUACGAAAUCCUUCCCACGGGGCCUUUUCCCCCUCUCUGAUUCUUUCCCCAAAAUACCUUCGACUAUGCUAAGCUGCAGCGACAGAAUCCUAACCCUAAUCGCGCUCUUUGCGAUUCAAGCUCUGCCUUUCAGCAUAGCAGUCACCAAAUACUCUCCUCCGCUUGCUCUUUCUCAAUCACCGUCUCUCUCCACACACAUGGAGUCAUCAUAGCUGCAGCAGGGAUGAUGCAGCGGUCCUCACAGCGGCUGAGUCUUAGAAGAUAAUGAUGAAGGACCAAGCCUCUCUUUCUCUCUCUAACAACUAUGAAGAAGAAGAUGAAGUGAGUAUAUGCAUGUCACUCAUCCUCUAUCUCUUCUCUCAAAAUCCUUCUGAUAGAUUGAGCUCAAUUUCAUUGAUUUGAAGGCUUCUCCAAGCUUAUACGUAGAUAUAAUGAACAUUCUGUUUCUCUGUUUAGCAAUAUUUUCUCCAACUUAUGUAUUUGCUUUAGUUCCAUUAUACUCGUGAAGUAUUCAUCAAUUUCACACAAAAAAUCAUUCUCAAUGAACAAGCUGGAAAUUAAUUGUUAAAUUUUUAUGGCAACUUUCUUUUGAUGUGAAGGAUGAUUUUGGAGAAUUGUAUAAAAUCAGGUUCAGGCCAAUGAAGAAAGUAUUAGUGUUUUUAGAAGUUUGAGCUAUUUAAUCAGAUAUGCUUCACUAUAGCCUCGCAUGGGGCGCGUAAAGAAGAAUUACAAAGCAAGCAGAAGAAAAAAGAAAAAUUUAAUGCGUAGAGCAAGAUGUUUUGUCUAGCCAGAGAGGAUAAGUGGAAACUUCAAGAAAUCUGAGUUUCUGAGUAACACUAGAAACUGCAUUUCCUUAAUAUUCACCUUGAAUAUCAGUUCUAUGUUGUUGUAGCACAGGCUCUUACAAGUUACUAUUAUUUAUGCCUUUGCUUUUAAAAGUGUUGCUGUGCUUGAUAUUAAUUCUUGAUGCAUAUUUAUUCAGGGAGCUUUUGCUCUAUUAGAAAUGAUAGUUUGAAGUGUAUCGAUGAAUAAGCACUGAUAUUUUGACAUCAUGUCCCUUUCUGAAUUGAACUGACUCACUUAUUCUAGGUGAAGCAACUUAUAUACUCUUGGAUUGAAUUACAUUUGUUCAGGAUUGUAUGAGGGGAUGAUGAUGUUUGACAACUUUUUUAAGCCUUGUGUUUACCUAUCUGAAAAAGUUGUCGGGGAUGUUCCUUUGAUAAGUAUCUUGGGAUUCAUUAUGUUGUUAUUUUAAAAUUGAGUACACCACGCGUAGCCUGAUUGCCUAACCUGACUACCUUCUAUAUACUGAAUAUAGCUUAUACUCAUCUCAAUAUGGUAUUGCCUUUUUGGACAUAGUUACUUGGUACGUGUUGCUGGUGGGAGGUAGCAGGUACCUCGUGGAAUUAGUCGAGCUGCACACAAGCUGCUUCGGACACCACAGUUAUAUAUAUAUAUAUAUAUAUAUAUAUAUAUAUAUUUGCCUUUCCUAGUUGCUGUAUCUAUAAUAACUUAUUUGUUACGUCCAGAUUUUUUCUUAUGGCUAUUAGUUUAGUUUUGUUUCUCUUAGUUUCGGCUCACAUAGUGGUUGAGCUACACAAUGUUGCAUUGCAUUUCAUUAUAGAACUUAUUGACGGGUCAUCAUGGUCUGGAAAAUGAUUUUGAGUUUAUGUGAGCUACACAAGUUACCAAUCUCUUGUCAUAUUACCACGAUCGCACAACUUUUUAUACUCACUUAAUUCAUUUCAGAUGAAUGAUGAAUAUCGUAUGCAGGUAAUAUUUCCACAAUUGCACAACUGUUCCUAUUAUACAUAUGGUGUUUGUAUGAUCUGAAUACCUUAACAACUUAUAAUCUUGUAUAUUCUUCUAUCUUAAAUUUUGUAAAUGUUAGUAUGAUGCUGAAGAGCUGGUUUUCUUACUUCCCCAGGUGCCCCUUAAAAUUUGCACUAGGUCAGUUAUAGCUAAUUUAGCAUGAUUUAGUGGAAGUGAACAGUCGGCUGAUUGUUAUGUGCCUCUUUUUGCUGUUUUAAUUGUGGUUUUCGCUUUUUAGAAUACAUAAUGACAUUAACAACUUAUUGCAGACUUCUCCUACAUUGCUGGCUAUGAAAGAUGUUAUUCUGAAGAAGUGAGUAGAUCUGUAGAUGCCAAGCUUUUUCCUUGUUGCAACGUCUGCUCAUAAAGUGCCUGAAGAAGGGUCAAUUUGGAGAACAACUGCAGUUUGAAAUAAAGAUUGUGUAUAUGAAGAUGACGUAUUAAUUUCCCCCCCCCCCCCCCCCCCCUCAUUUUUUAGUUUCUUUGGGCAUAAAGAUGUACCUAGAAUCUGAUGACUUGCGAUAUUGCUUACAUUUUUAUGAUCAAUUGAAUACUGAU